Molecule: long non-coding RNA, 494 nt
Organism: Passer domesticus (house sparrow)
Lineage: Eukaryota; Metazoa; Chordata; Aves; Passeriformes; Passeridae
Exons: 5
Source: RefSeq, a predicted model, not a curated record
ACGGAAAAGAGUCUCUAGCCCUCAGCUAUCAGUGAUUCACACUAAUUUGGAAAUGCUCCUUGCAUAUAAAAUUUUCAUGAAGAGACACACGUGCAGUGUUGGGCCCAGUGCUGAGACCAACACGCAAGGGACAAGGACAUACUGGAGCAAGAAAGGCCACAAAGGUGUCCAAGCUUUUCAUCAGACUGUUCAGAGAGGGUGUAGAAGUCUCCACCCUGGGGAUACUUCCAACCUGACUGGACUCAUUCCUGGACAAUCUGCUCUAACUGAUGCUGCUCUGCACAGGGCUAAUAUUUUCAUUGCAUUUUGUGUAUGGACAUGCAUAUAAACAUAUGUGAUCAGGACACCCUAUGCCCACAUAAAAGGAAUGGCCACUGCAAAUGAAAGGGGCUUGCCAAAUUUACACUGAAGAAAAAAGAUAACACAGUCUUACGUGUAUUAAUUUUCUUAACUCAUUAAAGCUGUUCUCAGUGUCUACUACAUAUUUUGCAGCA